GGACGAUCGUCGGCGGGCAACCGCGGGAGGAAAGUCCGGACUCCGCAGGGCGCCGUAGCAGGUAACACCUGUCCGCCGUGAGGCGCGGAUUAGAGCAACAGAGACGAGCCGACUUCGGGUCGGGUGAAACGGGCAAUCUCUACGGGGAGCAACAUCAAAUAGGCGGCCAACGGAUCGGCCCGAUCCGGCCGCGGGUAGAUGGCUUGAGGCGUUGCGCGAGCAACGUCCUAGAUGAAUGAUCGUCACCCGGGACUUUCCCGGGAACAUAAUCCGGCUUACAGCUCGGCUUU
This 290-nucleotide RNase P RNA is filed under the name uncultured Sutterella sp. Its description in RNAcentral is "Bacterial RNase P class A". It matches the Rfam family "Bacterial RNase P class A". From Rfam's summary of the family: Ribonuclease P (RNase P) is a ubiquitous endoribonuclease, found in archaea, bacteria and eukarya as well as chloroplasts and mitochondria. Its best characterised activity is the generation of mature 5'-ends of tRNAs by cleaving the 5'-leader elements of precursor-tRNAs. Lineage: Bacteria; Pseudomonadati; Pseudomonadota; Betaproteobacteria; Burkholderiales; Sutterellaceae. The record is from RNAcentral.